This 492-nucleotide ribosomal RNA is filed under the name uncultured bacterium. RNAcentral describes it as "partial 16S ribosomal RNA". It matches the Rfam family "Bacterial small subunit ribosomal RNA", at positions 29 to 507 of the family's 1533-position model. The record is from RNAcentral.
AGUGAACGCUGGCGGUAGGCCUAACACAUGCAAGUCGAACGGCAGCACAGUAAGAGCUUGCUCUUACGGGUGGCGAGUGGCGGACGGGUGAGGAAUACAUCGCAAUCUACUUUUUCGUGGGGGAUAACGUAGGGAAACUUACGCUAAUACCGCAUACGACCUACGGGUGAAUGCAGGGGAUUUUCGGACCUUGCGCGACUGAAUGAGCCGAUGUCGGAUUAGCUAGUUGGCGGGGUAAAGGCCCACCAAGGCGACGAUCCGUAGCUGGUCUGAGAGGAUGAUCGGCCACACUGGAACUGAGACACGGUCCAGACUCCUACGGGAGGCAGCAGAGGGGAAUAUUGGACAAUGGGCGCAAGCCUGAUCCAGCCAUACCGCGUGGGUGAAGAAGGCCUUCGGGUUGUAAAGCCCUUUUGUUGGGAAAGAAAAGCAGCAGGUUAAUACCCCGCUGUUCUGACGGUACCCAAAGAAUAAGCACCGGCUAACUUCGUG